CUGAAACAUUAACGAGUCUCAAUUCUUACAUCAAACAUAAAAUCUAGAAAAACAGACAGCACCAACAUCGACUAAAAUCACAUCCCAUGAACCAAAAAUCCAUGCAAAUAUAAAGUCAAAUACUACUAUAAAAGCAGAAAUCGAGAAACAGAAACCCAAGUACAGAAACAGAAAGUCACUGCAGAGAUAUCUAUGUCAAGUGUAUAAAGAGGGGGGAAAGCAGAGCAAAAUCCUGAAAAGAUUCCUUUUUUUUUUUUUUCCUUCAUAAAUACUAUACAAUCAGUUCAAAAUAUAAACACCUGUCUAUGAGAGUCCAUUACUUGUCAAUCUCUCUCUUUCUCGUGACCAUAAUUCAAGAUUUCCCCUUUUUUUUUUAUCCCCAAACUCUCCUCCUCUUUUCUUCACAAUUAACCUACUUGCCACUCUCACACCCAACAAUAAAUCUUCUCUUAAAAAACCCUUUUCAGUCUUACUCCCUUCGCUCUCUCUAAUAAAAAUCCCAACUUUCUGUCACUUUCCCGAGAAACAUCAGGACUUUCCGGGAAAAUUUCCAAACAUUUCUUUUUUAAUGGAGGCGCUACCGGACCACCUCCGGUGCAAGAGAACAGACGGCCGGCAAUGGCGGUGCAACAGGCGGGUGAUGGAGGAUAAGAAGCUCUGUGAAAUUCACCACCUUCAAGGCCGCCAUAGGCAGUAUAGAAGGAAAGUUCCAGAGACUUUGAAAUUGCAGAGAAAGAAGAGCAAGAAAUCAGCAGCAUCAAGUUCUAAUGCUGAAACCCUAAUUAGGGUUUCUUCAAAAGAGGGGAAAUUAGGGAAAUUUAAGAAGAAAGGAAAGAAGUUGAAGAGAGGGGAUUUACAGUUGGAUUUGAUUAGAAUGGUUUUACAGAAAGAAAUGGAGAAGAGGAAGAGUAAGAAAAGGAAAAGUUUUUCAGAGAAAGUAAGUGUUGAUAAUGGUGAUGAUAAUGAUAAUGUGAAUGACUGUAGUGAGAGUGAAGAAGGAGAAGGAGAAGAGUUAAUGAGAAAUUUGCCAAAUGGGUUCAUGGCAAUAUCGCCUGCUAAGAGUUUUGGGAAUGGCAAUGCGGGUUGUUCUAGUUCACAUUGUGAUAGUAAGAUUGGAGGAGAUGUUGUUAACGGGGCUAGUACUGCUAGAAGAUGUUUUAGGUCUAAAAAUGUUGAGCCAAUGCCAAUUGGGAAAUUGCAGGUUUUGCCGUAUAAGAGGGAUGGAGUGAGAUUGAGGAAGGGGAAGAGGAAGAAGUGCCACUGGUGUAGGAGUAGUGGAUCGAGGACAUUGAUUAGGUGUUCGAGUUGUCGGAAAGAGUAUUACUGCUUGGAUUGCAUCAAAGAGCAGUAUUUGGAAACACAAGAAGAAGUUAGGAUGGAAUGUCCUAUGUGUCGUGGAACUUGCAGCUGUAAGGUCUGCUCAGCGAUUCAAUGUAGGGACAUUGCAUGUAAGGACUUGUCCAAGGAGAAAAGUGAAGUAGACAACGUUUUACAUUUUCAUUAUUUGAUUUGCAUGCUUCUUCCCAUACUGAAACAAAUAAAUCAGGAUCAGAGCAUUGAGCUAGAAAUAGAGGCAAAAAUAAAAGGCCAGAAGCCUUCUGAAGUUCAAAUCCAGCAGGCUGAAGUCAGCUGCAAUAAGCAAUGUUGCUGCAAUAACUGCAAGACUUCCAUAGUGGAUUUCCAUAGGAGCUGUCCUGAGUGUUCCUAUAACCUUUGCUUAAGUUGUUGUCGGGAUAUUUUUCAUGGGGGCGUACAUGGACGUGUUAAAACUCUUUUAUGCAAAUGUCCAAAUGGAAGGAAAGCUUGUAUACCUGGCAAACGACUUUCAGAAAUGAAAUCACUUUAUGCCACGAAGCGGAGUUACAGCAGCAAAUAUCAUGGCUCAACAUUCUCACCUGGUCGGAGUGCUGUGGAUCGUAAUGGUGGUAUACCUUGUCCCUCUAGAAAGUUUGGAGGUUGUGGUGAUAGCCUACUUGAUUUGAGGUGCAUUUUCCCCUUAUGUUGGACAAAAGAUCUGGAAGUAAGUGCAGAAGAAUUAGUUGGCUGCUAUGAGUUACCAGAAACCUUGGAUGUUCGAUCGUGUUGCUCAUUAUGUGUUGGGAUGGAUUGUGAAUCUAACGGGAUUGAACAACUGCAAGAAGCAGCUGCAAGAGAAGAUUCUGGUGAUAACCUUUUAUAUUAUCCAACCAUCAUGGAUGUUCGCAGUGAUAACCUAGAACACUUUCAGAAGCACUGGGGCAGAGGUCAACCUGUGAUUGUUCGUAAUGUGCUUCAGAGUACAUCUGAUUUGAGUUGGGAUCCAAUAGUCAUGUUCUGCAAUUAUCUUAAGAAUAAUGCUGCCAGGUCUCAAAAUGGGCAAGCUACAGAUUGCUCGGACUGGUUUGAGGUAGAAAUUGGUAUAAGACAGAUGUUUAUGGGGUCUUUUAAGGGCCUGACGAAUGCCAACAUAUGGCAUGAGAAGCUGAAAUUGAAGGGUUUGCUUUCUUCUUAUUUAUUCCGAGAACAUUUUCCAGUUCAUUAUAGUCACGUCCUUCAGGCUCUACCACUUCCAGAAUACAUGGACCCCAUUUCAGGUGUUCUAAACAUUGCUGCAGAUUUGGGCCAGGAAACCUCAAAGUCUGAUCUGGGUCCUUGUCUUUAUAUCUCAUAUGGAAGUGGUGAGAAUCUUUCACAGGCUGAUUCUGUGACAAAACUGUGUUAUAAUUCAUAUGAUGUGGUUAAUAUUUUGGCACAUGCUACUGAUGUCCCUGUAUCUACAAAACAGCUUAAUUACAUAAGGAAGUUAAUGACAAAGCACAAGGACCAGAAUAAAGAGAGCGGAGAAGCACCUUUAGAUGAGGAAAACAUUGAAGUGGAAUUGCAUGAUAUGUUCAGAGAAGAUAUGCAAGUAAACAAGAAAGUUGCUAGAGUAUCCUGGUUCUCUGCUGCAAGACAUGAAACUCAUGCUUCAAAUCUGAAAGAUAGAGACGUGUUCCAUGAUGGGGAUUCUGGUUCUGACUCUGAUUCUGAUUCUGAUUCUCACACUGAUACUGAUACUGAAGUCUCAAAAUUUUUCUUUGGACCUGUUAAAGGUUCAAGGUCAUCAGAUAAUCUUAAGUUUCAUGGGAAUCACUCGGAGACUUCCAAUCAUUUCAUAUCUGAGUCUUGUGGUGCCCAUUGGGAUAUCUUUCGUAAACAGGAUGUUCCUAAGCUUGUAGAAUACCUUAGAAGGCACUCUAAUGAGUUCACUCACACAUACUUCCAAAAGCAUAUGGUUCAUCCAAUACUUGAUCAGAAUUUCUUUCUUGAUGCAUAUCAUAAAAUGAGACUGAAGGAGGAGUUUAAAAUUGAACCCUGGAGUUUUGAUCAACAUAUUGGAGAAGCAGUGAUUGUUCCUGCUGGAUGUCCAUACCAAAUUAGAAAUCUUAAGUCAUGUGUCAGCGUGGUUCUGGACUUCCUCUCACCAGAAAAUGUUACUGAAUGUAUUCAGUUGAUGGAUGAAUUACGACAACUUCCAGAGAACCAUAAGGCCAAAGUUGACAGAUUAGAGGUGAAGAAAAUGGCAUUGCACAGUAUCAGUAGAGCAGUCAGAAAAAUUCAUGAGCUUACACGGGCAGAGACCAGCAUGGACCUCAAUGGCUAACUGCAAGGACUGAACGGAAAGAUAUGCUGUUACAAAAUGAAUCGUACAGGAUCUCUCAUUCUUGGUGAAAAACACCAACUUUUUGUUAUCAAAAAUUUGCAUUGGUUUCCUCAUUUACUGCAACAACUUGUACAUGGGUUCAUUAAGUCAUCUGAUGCUAGACAAAUUGCAUGAAAAAAAGCUCUUGAUAUUCUUGCAAAAAUUGUCGUUGAUUGGAGUAACAAUGCUUAGUUUUGAAAGGCCUCUCAUCCUUGAUGUUCCUUGCCUCUAUAAAGAAUGGUUUGGGGUUUCAGCAACGGAUUGUUUGAGAUUCAAUCACGAAUCUAAGAGACCCGCUACGUCCAAGAACAGAAAGUGGUGGCAGGCUGCAUCCUCAUAACCUCCCCCCUUUCAAAGAGAAGAGUCCAGUUUUCCUAAAGAGAGUUAAGUUCAAAAAAGAGUUGUAAAGCAGAAUAGCAAACCCACUGUGGCAAGGGAACCAGCGAAAUGCAUGAAUUCUUCAAAAUACUCUCGCAUGCUAAAUUAAAAUUAAAACAAAAACUAAAAGAACACAUUGUGAAUUUGAAUAAGACACAUUGUGAAUUGGAAUAAUGA
RNA transcript from Populus euphratica (Euphrates poplar), 4216 nucleotides. It is a transcript of the gene named lysine-specific demethylase JMJ25-like, with no coding region annotated. NCBI's taxonomy places the organism in Eukaryota, Viridiplantae, Streptophyta, Magnoliopsida, Malpighiales, Salicaceae. The record is from RefSeq and is a predicted model, not a curated record. The transcript is spliced from 15 exons.